GAUGAACGCUGGCGGCGUGCCUAAUACAUGCAAGUCGAGCGAACGGACGAGAAGCUUGCUUCUCUGAUGUUAGCGGCGGACGUGUGAGUAACACGUGUAUAACCUACCUAUAAUACUGGUAUAACUUCGGGAAACCGGAUCUAAUCCCGUAUCAUAUUUUGAACCUCAUUGUUCAAAGGUGAAAUACGGUCUUUCUGGCACUUAUCGCUGUAUCCGCGCUUCAUUGGAUAGUUGGUGAGUUAACGGCUUACCAAGGCAACGAGGCAUAGACGACCUGAGAGGGUGAUAGGCGACCCUGGAACUGAGCCAGGGACAAGACUACUACGGGAGGCAGCAGUAGCGAAUGUUACGCAAUGGGCGAAAGCAUGACGGAGCAACGCCGCGUGAGUGAUGAAGGCCUUCGGAUCGGAAAACCCUGCUAUGAGGGAAGAACAUAUGUGUAAGUAAAUGUGCACAUCUUGACGGUAACGAAUAAGAAAGCAACGGCUAACUACGUG
Molecule: ribosomal RNA, 497 nt
Filed under: uncultured bacterium
Lineage: Bacteria
Description: partial 16S ribosomal RNA
Rfam family: Bacterial small subunit ribosomal RNA
Source: RNAcentral